Long non-coding RNA from Salmo salar (Atlantic salmon), 595 nucleotides. RefSeq lists it as uncharacterized. NCBI's taxonomy places the organism in Eukaryota, Metazoa, Chordata, Actinopteri, Salmoniformes, Salmonidae. The record is from RefSeq and is a predicted model, not a curated record.
GCACAACUAACGUGCUGUUUCCCAUUUAACAACAGAAAUAAAUUAUGCUCAACUGGGACCACUGGCUGAUGUGAUUUAUUUGGACAAAACACAACGCAAGGAGAGUACGAUUUACAUCUGUCAGAACCUUGAUUUAAUAUCACAUCCAGAACGUACAAGUCAUGAGCAGAAACUACAUGUCCAAGUAUGAUGAGAUGCAUAGGGAGACUACCUUAUGUCCAACAACCACAAGUGGAAAGCUUGCUUCCAGAGUUAAAUUAAUGAAACUCUGACACCGCUGGCCAGCGCGACGCCUAUCGCAAGACGACUGCAACUUUGUAAUGUACAAGAAGGACAACAAGAUGAUAUGGCAGACCAAGUGCCCGGCGUCUGGUGGCUGUGUAAUGAUGUGCCGCAUGUGGCUGUGUAAUGAUGGCACCAUGGUGGUGGAGAGGAGGUGUGGUCCUCUGCUCAGUCUAAGGGAUUCAAGCAGUGAGCAGAGCACCUGCAUCUCUACCGGGGAUAAGUUCAUGUUGAUAAUACCCACACUUUCCAUCUGUGUUGUAUGACUGUCUUCCUUGACCUAUGUUCAAUAAAGAGCAUGGUAAAAAUAAAA